Long non-coding RNA from Heterocephalus glaber (naked mole-rat), 639 nucleotides. The record is from Ensembl. Lineage: Eukaryota; Metazoa; Chordata; Mammalia; Rodentia; Bathyergidae.
GUUGAUAGUUACGAGUGGAUACAAACAGAGUAAACUCAGGUCGACCACAACACUCUCCUCUCCAAGGGAUAUCUUGGGCAAAGGAAAAGCAAUGGAAAGAAAACUGGUGAAGGGCUUGUUGUGAGAAAAAGGAAAGAAGAAAAGAAUGGAAGGAGAGUACAUAAUGGAACUGGAGUAUCACAUCAUGCUGCGACUUGGUUACCCGAGGCCUUGAGUUUUGUAGGCACCCAGUUGUAACUGUCUUCAAGUCAGAAUGAACUGGAAUUGAUACACACGUGGGAAAAACCAGGAAAGAGCAACUCAAGAAGAAGAAUCAGAGAACAGAAAAAGUCACUUACAUCACAGCCUGAAGCAUUAGUGCUGAUGUGCAGGUCAAAAUUCACAGGAAAAUCUCCAAAGCAGAAAACUCCUAAAAUAUCUGUUUUAAGCAGAAUUGGGAAAAAAGGAUCUCACUGAAGGAGGAGCUCAUGGACAGAUCUGUGGAAGCUGCUAUCACUGUGGGAAAUGCAGUCAAGUAUUUUGUGGCAUGAUAUGAAAUUGAGAAAACAGCCUGAGAGCUGCAGCUCUUUAGGCACAUUACACCUGUUGUUACCACCUGACUUCCAUGGUCCCGUCAGAGUAAUGGCUUCUAUUGUACUU